RNAcentral lists this long non-coding RNA (1346 nucleotides) under Gossypium barbadense (sea-island cotton). Its description in RNAcentral is "long non-coding RNA (GBAR_LNC008253)". Lineage: Eukaryota; Viridiplantae; Streptophyta; Magnoliopsida; Malvales; Malvaceae. The record is from RNAcentral.
GCAAUUUAAAAAAUAAAUAAAGUAUGAAUAGAGCCUAAUUCAAAAUCAGCGCGAAGGAGAAGGGCCACGCGCGCAAAUUCCCCAAUUCAAGCAAAGGCGCGCGGAUCCGGCCUGUUAAGUGGGUCAGCGCGCGGAUCUUACCCCUCUUGGAACGACGCCGUUUUAACACCCUUAAACCCUCAUUUUGGCUCCUUUUCUCCUAUUUUUUUAACACAGCCGACCUCUUAAUUUUUUUUAAACAAAAAACCCCUGAAAUCAGUCGGCUAGGGUUCCAUUAGCACGCAGCCGCCAAACCACCAUUGUUUAGUGACCAACAACACCCAAACAACGCACCGAUUAUGCCAUUGAAGGUGCAUGACCACACCCUAAAGGAUUUAGUAAGUAUAUUCUUCCUCCUUUUUCCUUUAUUUGAAAAGAAAAUUCAAAUCUCAUGUUAUUUUUUUUAAAGAAGGAAAAGAGGUUCAUAGAAUAAAGGAGCUUUCAACGUUGCUUGACCUCUCACCCUUACAUCCGCAUCUCAGAAGUAUUUGGGCUCUCAUCGACCUCAAUUCGCAUAAAAAAAAUCGAGCUAACCAAGAAGAAAAUAAAUCCGAAAAAAAACAAAAGAGAAAGAAAAAUGUGAAAUCACCUCUGCUAAUUUUUUAUUGCUUUUCUUCUAUUCUCUAUGCAUAGUAUGCGUAAAGUGUGCGUAAGUUUUUUGCAGGUACAUUUGUCGGCUUUUAUAGCCAGAUUUACAGAGUAAAAUCAAAAAAUAAAAUUACAUUUUCUUGCUGUCAAUCGUUGUAAAUUCUGUUAGCCUCUUUCUCGUGCAUUCCCUUGCUGUUUAUUUUUCCUUCUUAUAGGUUCCAUUGACGUGGAUGUACGGAGGUGCACGGAGGCAGUCGUGCGUGAGAAUCCCUCGUGGGCAGCCGACCCUCUAGUUUAUUUCAGAAGUUUCUGGCAUUUUCAGGCUGCUGAGAUUCUUUUUAGGUGUAUUGGGCCUCGUGUUUGGGCUAUUGGAAUUGGGUUUGAGGGUUUAUUCAAUUGGGUCAUGGGUUAUUUUAGUUUAAUGGACUUUUAUUGUAUUGUUUUUUAUUUUAGUUUUGGGUUUUGUAAAUGGACUUUGGCCCUAUAAACAAUUUGGUCAAUUAUUUAUUUUUGUUUGGUUUUAAAAAUAUAUAUUUUUAUUUUUGUUUUUUAUGAGCCCGGGCGAAAUAAGCAUAUUACAAACGUGAGAUGUGAGAUAUGUGUAUAUUUUAUUUCAUGAAUAGGUUUGCAACUUGUUCUUAGACAAUGUAGAAUUACUUCCUCUUUUAACUAACAACAUAAGAUUAAAUGCUGUACUAUAUUUUAUAAUUUUUUUACUU